This 253-nucleotide ribosomal RNA is filed under the name uncultured bacterium. RNAcentral's name for it is "partial 16S ribosomal RNA". It matches the Rfam family "Bacterial small subunit ribosomal RNA", at positions 524 to 776 of the family's 1533-position model. The record is from RNAcentral.
UACGUAGGGCGCAAGCGUUAUCCGGAAUUACUGGGCGUAAAGCGUGCGCAGGCGGUGAUGUAAGACAGUUGUGAAAUACCCGGGCUCAACCUGGGAACUGCAUUUGAAACUGGGCGUCUAGAGUGCAGGAGAGGAAAGCGGAAUUCCUAGUGUAGCGGUGAAAUGCGUAGAGAUUAGGAAGAACACCAGUGGCGAAGGCGGCUUUCUGGACUGUAACUGACACUGAGGCUCGAAAGCGUGGGGAGCAAACAGG